This 75-nucleotide transfer RNA is filed under the name Monosiga brevicollis. RNAcentral describes it as "tRNA-His". It matches the Rfam family "tRNA". From Rfam's summary of the family: Transfer RNA (tRNA) molecules are approximately 80 nucleotides in length. Their secondary structure includes four short double-helical elements and three loops (D, anti-codon, and T loops). Lineage: Eukaryota; Choanoflagellata; Craspedida; Salpingoecidae. The record is from RNAcentral.
GGCGAUUAUAACUCAGUUGGUAGAGUGUUUCUUUGUGGCAGAAAUUUGCAUGGGUUCGAGUCCCAUUAAUCGCCC